GACGAACGCUGGCGGCGUGCUUAACACAUGCAAGUCGAACGGAAAGGCCCUGCUUUUGUGGGGUGCUCGAGUGGCGAACGGGUGAGUAACACGUGAGUAACCUGCCCUUGACUUUGGGAUAACUUCAGGAAACUGGGGCUAAUACCGGAUAGGAGCUCCUGCUGCAUGGUGCGGGUUGGAAAGUUUCGGCGGUUGGGGAUGGACUCGCGGCUUAUGAGCUUGUUGGUGGGGUAGUGGCUUACCAAGGCUUUGACGGGUAGCCGGCCUGAGAGGGUGACCGGCCACAUGGGGCCUGAGAUACGGCCCAGAGUGCUACGGGAGGCAGCAGUGGGGAAUAUUGCACAAUGGUCGGAAGCCUGAUGCAGCAACGCCGCGUGCGUGAUGACGGCCUGCGGGUUGUAAAACGCUUUCGCCUGUGACGAAGCGUGAGUGACGGUAAUGGAUAAAGAAGCACCGGCUAACUACGUG
This 468-nucleotide ribosomal RNA is filed under the name uncultured bacterium. RNAcentral describes it as "partial 16S ribosomal RNA". It matches the Rfam family "Bacterial small subunit ribosomal RNA", at positions 28 to 507 of the family's 1533-position model. The record is from RNAcentral.